Molecule: ribosomal RNA, 252 nt
Filed under: uncultured bacterium
Lineage: Bacteria
Description: partial 16S ribosomal RNA
Rfam family: Bacterial small subunit ribosomal RNA
Source: RNAcentral
UACGGAGGAUGCGAGCGUUAUCCGGAUUUAUUGGGUUUAAAGGGUGCGUAGGCGGGAUGCCAAGUCAGCGGUAAAAAUGCGGUGCUCAACGCCGUCGAGCCGUUGAAACUGGCGUCCUUGAGUGGGCGAGAAGUAUGCGGAAUGCGUGGUGUAGCGGUGAAAUGCAUAGAUAUCACGCAGAACUCCGAUUGCGAAGGCAGCAUACCGGCGCCCUACUGACGCUGAGGCACGAAAGCGUGGGUAUCGAACAGG